AGUGCCAGGAAAACAUACUCGUUUUCCUGGCACUAUAGUGCCCUGAGGGUGCCCCCACCCUCAGGGCACUAUAGUGCCAGGAAAACGAGUAUGUUUUCCUGGCACUAUAGUGG
RNAcentral lists this microRNA precursor (113 nucleotides) under Pelobates cultripes (western spadefoot toad). The record is from RNAcentral. Lineage: Eukaryota; Metazoa; Chordata; Amphibia; Anura; Pelobatidae.